AGCUCAUCUGUCUCAGCCCCAUUUAUUUCUCCUGGGUGAUGAGAAGACCUGUGCUUCUCCGUUAAAAGGCACUAGGAAAGAAGGAGUUAAAGUGAAGGCAGGCUCGCUGGUUUGCUGAGAUCUGUCAGAGGCUGACUGGCUGGCUACAUAUCUGUCUCUGGAACAAUAGGUACCUGUAUUCUGCAUGGGCUGCUGGGCAGGCAGUACUAACACUCUGGAGAAGGUCUGCCUCUGUCUGAGCCUUCCUGGUGAGAUUCCCCAGUAACAGUCCUACUUUUCAGAGGAGAGAGAGAGAGAGAGAGAGAGAGAGAGAGAGAGAGAGAGAGAGAGAGAGAGAGAGUUUGAGGCUGUCUACUCUGUUGAUAGAGGACAAAGCUUUGAUCAUUUUUGUUCAGGCUUCACUUGGUGAGAGGUUUUAGGUUCUUAGUCUCAAGUCAGUAGUUGUGCUGCCUUCCCCCCCCCUCCCCUUUCUUUCAUAUUCUCUUUCUGCCGCCCUCCCUCUCUCAUUUCUCCUCAUAGGUUCAAUGCAGGCAGAUGAGUGCCACAGCUGUAACUGAGGCGUAGAAUAAUCAACACAUCGGAGCCAAUCCCCCUGACACCAAGAGGGGAAUCCGGCAGAGGUGACCGACCGCGAGGACAAGACCGUUCUUCUGACAAGUUUUAGAUACUCAUGCUAAUGGUGUCACGGAAGAAGCGAUGUAUCGACAGCUCAGGAUGGCUGCAGGGGACAUAUUCAGACGUGGCCCAGAUUGUCUGCCCAUGGGGACUGAGAUACCUCUGAGAUUUAUAUCAGAUCUCCACAGUCUUUGUCGCUGUAUUUUGUUAGAAAGAAAGGCGAGGCUGUUUCUACAGGUGCCACAGAAAAAUCGAUGCCGAGUCACGGAUUAUUGGAUCCCACAGAACCAUGGAGACUUGGCGGUGAAAUUCUUCUAAAGUUUCUUCUGGCUAUCAGAGAGUUGAAAGGGGAAAAAAAAAUAAAGAGCCAAAGCUGUUUCAACUUCUUGGUUGUUUUACUCCAUGGCUUAGCAUUCCAUCUGCGCAGGCAGAGGUGUUCCUGGUUUGGGAAGUAUAAAUCCCGCGGGAAGUCAACUGGAGAACAUUUUACGCGUCCGUCACUCAUCCUAUUAUGAGCCUGCUGCUCUUCCUUCUCUGGACAAGCCUAAACUUUAAGAUUUGCUGAACAAACCUUGUGUCAAAUUUGGACCACCUAGACAGUAUUCCACCCUGAUUGUAUCCCAUGUCACUAUUCUGUGCAAGGCCACCGACUAGAAGAGCACAGAAUUAUUAAAAAGAAAACAAAAAAAAAAACCAAAAAAAACACAGCUGAAAGUGAACGUCUUUGGAUUUCCCAUUUAAUGAGUUGGCAGCUAAAGGACAGGAGCAGCAAUAAGGCUGCCUGGCUACAUUUUCAUAGUGCCACCAACUGCGAGUUAAGCUGACAAACAUUUUGAGAGCUCGGCCCAUUUCAUUCACAGCAGGAUGGCAGGAGUUAACUAACACUGUAAAAAAAACCUAACUAAAAAUCGUGCCUUUACUGCACAUUUGCACAGAAUCUCAGGACUGAAAGUGUCGAAGUUCUGCUCGACAAGCGGGUGACUGAUUGUCCCUGCCAGCUGGCUAAUAUCAUAAUUAGCAAAGUUGCUACCACAUCUGCAAAGUUUAAUCGAAAAAUUUACCAGUGGUAUGAUGGCAUUGUCACCAUGAUCCCAAGGGAAUCGGAGUCGACUUCUGCUUCAGGAGGAACGGCAAGGCUGUAUAGCUGAGAUGAGAAAUUGUAAACUUGCUCAGCCAAAGGUUAUGCUUCGCAUCACCCACCAGGGAGGAUCAUCUCUCAUGAAAACUUUCAAAUUUGAUUUUGAAAAUUUAUUCAGAAAAAUUUAAGCCACGCUCUUUUUCAACACAGAAAAUAAUAUGCUCCAGAGAAUCCUCUAAUUCACAGAAAAUGGACUCGGAUAACAUUUGGGUUCUCAUACUACCACAGUUCUCUUGAGAAGGACAGCCAGGAGGCUAAUAAUGAAGGGGCCAGGGAAGGAGGCCAAUGCUACAAGGGUUAUCUCUCAACCUCAGAUGUUGGAUAAGUCAGGGAACAGCGUCGUUUCUGGAUGGCUUCAGACAGGCCGGACUGACUGUUUGGAAGAGAAAAACCUGCUUAUUCUUUCAAAGGUACAUGAAUGUUGUCCACACCUUCCCGUCUAAAGGUUAGAAUCUUGCCUUAGACAAAGGAUGCUCUUGGAGUCCCACCACACCUAAAACCACGCUUUGAAGGAUCUGCCAAGCUCACUUUUAAUCAUGAGAAAGAAAUUACCCACAUGGAGACAGCAGAAAAUGAGAAAGGAGAGAUCGUGCUGCGAAUAAUUCCAGCGAGUGCCAAGGGGCUAGUUGAGGAAUGGCUUCAUGAGGUGAAUAUCUUAGCUUGUACUUAGAAUUUGGUUAGCGUAUAAUCAGUUUCUCUUUUAGGAGCGAAUACAAUCCUAAGUGUAUUUCCCAUCUGAGCACCGCUCAGGGCAUUUAUCAGGAUGUUGACAUAUUUAAUAUCGGCCUCGUCCUCGCCGUUAUUUAUGAUGACUAAUUUUACACUUAUAAAUAUGCAGAAAUCGAUGUAGGUGGAAAGGCUCUCUGAGCCCCAUGUCUGUCGCUAGCCGUCUGUCUUCAUGUGCAGCGCUCUGCUAGUGUGGCCUGUCCAGUAAUGUGUGUCUCUGUGUAUGUGCGUGCUCUUGUUGUCUCCUCUCCGCUGUGAAUGUGCAUUGGGAGAAUUAGCCUUAUGACAGGAUAUCAAAAGAUGGGCCCAAGACUUUCAUUUUUGGAAUGGAAAGAAAAAAUAAUGCGUAACACUUUGUAUCACAUCAGUUUCAAUUCUUCCUGAGAGGGAGGGGGCCAAUCAGGUAUGAGUCAUCACAGGGCAAAGCAACCAGGAUUCAAAUUGAACAUCACCUUCAGUGUCAAAUUAGUUGAAAGUCCCCCUUUUCCUUUACGGUGACUGGCUGAAACCCCUGCCAUUAUGUCUGUUUGUUUUAAAAGGGUGGGGGGAGCUGCCUGAGUUCAUCCACAGUGCCAUGUAGCUUUUCUUUGUUUCAUUUUUCUAAGGAUCAGAUCCAAGAAAAAUAAUAGGUUAGUAAUUCAAGACCAUCACUACUUACACGGUUCUCUCCCGGGCAUGUCAUUUCUUUGGGUGCCAAGUUUCAUCAAGAUCACUAAGUAAACAAAUGAGCGAUAACUUUUUUGCUCCUUUUUUCUUUUAAUUUGACUAGGGAGUAAGAACUGGGAAAGUCAAGUGUCUUUAUGAGUCACAGAGGAAGAAUGCAGGAACCCCCACCCCCACCCCCCAACUUCUGGUCUCAGACUUUGAUUUCCCACACAACCAAGUCACGGGAUCGCCAUGCCAACCUUAAGCAAUUUUGGCUCCCAGCAAUCCUGUGCUGGGGAAUCUUUCAAACUACCCUUCAAUCCGGGUCCAAAGGGCCACAGCACAGACUAGUAGAAAGAGUGCAUUAUCUGAGAAAGCACCAGGCUGCUUUCCCAUUGGUAUAUGUGUUUGGUGCCACGGUUAAGCACCGCUGGGGUCUAAUACGUGGAUGACCCCCUUUAUAGAGUGUGGGGGCUUCUGAGGAAAAGGCAAGCAUUGACUAAGAAAAAGAGUCAUUCUUCCAUGUGUUUUCAUAAAAGGACAAGGCAGGCCUCUUUGAGAGCUUCUGAAAGAGAAGAGGCAUGGGAGGAGAUGAGCCAGCUGGGGGUGGGUUGUUUUGGGGAGGGGAGCCAGCUGGGGAAUGGAGAGAGAGAGAGAGAGGCUGGGGAGAUAGCCAGCUGGGAGAAGAGGUAGGAUAAAGCCAAGGCACAAAGGUACAGGCAGAUGAGCAGCUGUGUUUAUUUGAAUACAUAUCAUUUAACCCUCACCUAAAAACAAAUUGGAGAGGUUUGGGAGUGCAUUAAUCUGGACCCAAUUAGCAUGUCUUUCCCCUUCAAAAGGUGCAACCUGAGAUUAAUGAAUAUCAACCAGAGUUUCAGAAGCAGCACUUAAAUCAUUUGCAUGUUUGUGCAUGAUAAUUGGAUUUAUGUAUGCACUUCCUUUCAUUUAACUAUUUCCAGUCUCCUUAUGAGUGAGUCAUACAACCCAAAACUUCAUUCGAGUGAUUUCUAGGUAGAAAUAGCUUACCUAGCAUUCUACCCCUAAGGGGGGAAAAACUCAAGUGGUUGUACAUUUUGAAUUUGAAUACCACAUUUCUUUCUUUUAUUAUUAUUUUUUUUAACAUAGAGGGCAGUUGAUAAUAGUGUGGAAUGCUGCUGCUUCUGGAGUUGGUAAAUAGGCACCACAGAUUUAUCUUUAAAAGGCUAGGAAAAUAAGGAAAUUUCCAACAUCAAGCUUUCAUGGCUUCCGUGUGGCCACUAGUAAGAGAUUUUAUAAUGCUAGGAACGAGGCCACUUGAAUGCCGCAUGGGGAAUGUUCUUGGUGUCUGGACCUGUGGCAAUUAGAUCACAGAGACAUCAGCAUCCAGGAUGGUUUAUGGCAUAGUUAGAAAUGUGUUUCUAUAGAAAGAGAUGGGAAUGCGGUCAACAUCUGUGAACUGCUGUGGACAGGCAAGGAGCAUUGUGAACCCUUGAUGCUGUGGGUUUGGUCCUUCUCAUUUCCUCCCUCCCUCCCUUCCUUCCUUCCUCCCUCCCUCUCUCCC
This 4664-nucleotide small RNA is filed under the name Rattus norvegicus (Norway rat). Its description in RNAcentral is "uncharacterized LOC102548260". The stretch from base 2208 to 2400 matches the Rfam family "Rhabdomyosarcoma 2 associated transcript conserved region 9". The record is from RNAcentral. Lineage: Eukaryota; Metazoa; Chordata; Mammalia; Rodentia; Muridae.